CUAGGUCUGAACUCUCAAGUCCGGACCGGACCGGACCGGAUAUUUUUGGCCUCCCCGGCAGGCUCCCCCCUAUCUUCAACACCGCAGCCGCUCGCUCCCCUCUUCUCCUGGUCCUCGUGCGCGCGCGCGAGACAGAGAGAGGCGAGUGGCAAUGGCGAGCUCUGGCAGCUGCCACUCGCUCCUCUCUUCAGCCUCACCAAUCUCGCCUGCGCUCUUCUCGCGACACCGAGCGGCCGCCGUCGGUGGAGGAGCCAGCCGGGCGAGUAAAGUGCAAUCGCAGGUCAGGUGUCUUGCUAGAGAUGAGGAUUCGAAGGGGUGCGCAAACGUUUCCAAGGCCGAGACUAAUGAAGAAAAAGAAACUACGCCUUCAUCAAGACGAAGAUGUCUGGUCUGUCUCGGCGCUGUUACCUUGAUCAGCGCGACAGGACCACCAAACGGACUCGCUGCGGAUGCGAUGAACAAGGCCGGGGUACAGAAAGCUGUUUGCAGGAACUGUAAUGGCAGUGGUGCUGUGAUAUGCGACAUGUGUGGUGGCACAGGGAAAUGGAAGGCCCUCAAUCGGAAGAGGGCGAAAGAUGUUUAUGAAUUCACCGAGUGCCCGAAUUGCUACGGCCGCGGAAAGUUGGUGUGCCCUGUCUGUCUCGGAACUGGCCUGCCAAACAACAA
This 666-nucleotide unclassified non-coding RNA is filed under the name Zea mays. Its description in RNAcentral is "misc RNA Zm00001eb037630". The record is from RNAcentral. Lineage: Eukaryota; Viridiplantae; Streptophyta; Magnoliopsida; Poales; Poaceae.